GGCUGUUCCCCUCUGGAGGUUUUUUAACCUUCACAAUUAGGCCGGGCUUUUUAGUCCGGCUCUUUUUUGUCAGGGA
This 76-nucleotide small RNA is filed under the name Phyllobacterium brassicacearum. Its description in RNAcentral is "suhB". The stretch from base 1 to 67 matches the Rfam family "Alphaproteobacterial ar15", at positions 44 to 112 of the family's 112-position model. The record is from RNAcentral. Lineage: Bacteria; Pseudomonadati; Pseudomonadota; Alphaproteobacteria; Hyphomicrobiales; Phyllobacteriaceae.